GGUGGAAACCAGGUGGCCGCGCGCGGCCCUACGGCCGUGUCGAGGAAAGUCCGGGCUCCUCAGGGCAGGGUGCUGGGUAACUCCCAGUGGGAGAAAUCCCAAGGAAAGUGCCACAGAGAACAGACCGCCUGCGGCGAAAGCCGCGGGCAAGGGUGAAACGGUGAGGUAAGAGCUCACCAGUGCCGGCGGCGACGCCGGCAGCUAGGCAAACCCCACCCGGAGCAAGACCGAAUAGGAGAGGAGAGACGGCCCGUCUCGUUCCCACUCUCGGGUAGGUCGCUCGAGACGCGCGGAGACGCGCGUUCAAGACAAAUGGUCACCGCAGCGCACGGCCGAUUCGUUCGGCUUCUUCAUGCAGCUGACAGAACCCGGCUUACGGUUUCCUCCGGCA
RNAcentral lists this RNase P RNA (391 nucleotides) under Candidatus Eiseniibacteriota bacterium. Its description in RNAcentral is "Candidatus Eisenbacteria bacterium RNase P RNA component class A". It matches the Rfam family "Bacterial RNase P class A". Rfam says of the family: Ribonuclease P (RNase P) is a ubiquitous endoribonuclease, found in archaea, bacteria and eukarya as well as chloroplasts and mitochondria. Its best characterised activity is the generation of mature 5'-ends of tRNAs by cleaving the 5'-leader elements of precursor-tRNAs. Lineage: Bacteria; Candidatus Eiseniibacteriota. The record is from RNAcentral.